ACCCUGGUAGUGUGAAUAUCCUGCACAUGCCAAGGCUCGUUGUCACAGAGAUAAAUGCUUACAUCUGGCCCAAGAGUUAGCCGCUGAAGGAGAAUCCUGGGGAAGAUGGAAUGCCACGUUACAGCAAGGAGGUGGCAGAAAACCUGACUCAGACUGGCUUAAAAGGAAGUUCAUUGUCUCCUAUAACGGAGAGAUCCAAAUGUAGCUUCCGCACUUCAAGCACAGCCUGAGUCAGCCGAACAAUUCACAAGUGCUUGGUUGCUCGCCUCUGACUGCCUCCCGUGUGACUGCAGUGUCACGGUCCACACAGAUGUGCUCUGGAUCGACCAUCCUCUCACGUUCAAGACCAAAAAGCCAGAGGAGGCCAGCUUCCUCGGGAGCUCAGUUGCUAACUUGAGUCUUGUGGUCAUUCCUGAGCCAGUCGCCAUGGCUGAGGAUGUGAUGUACUAACUGGCUGAGGCCUACGAAGUCUAACUUACUCAAACUCCUGUCUAUCGAGUUGGUGAUGCCAUCCAACCAUCUCAUCCUCUGUCAUCUCCUUCUCCUCCCACCUUCAAUCUUUCCCAGCAUCAGGGUCUUUUCCAAUGAGUCAGUUUUUCCCAUCAGGUGGCCAAAGUAUUAGAGUUUCAGCGUCAGCAUCAGUCCUUCCAAUGAAUAUUCAGGACUGAUCUCCUUUAGGAUGGACUGGUUGGAUGUCCUUGC
Molecule: long non-coding RNA, 702 nt
Organism: Bos taurus (domestic cattle)
Lineage: Eukaryota; Metazoa; Chordata; Mammalia; Artiodactyla; Bovidae
Source: Ensembl